CUGGUAUCCUACAGGGGAGUAGCUUUUUGACACCAUUCAUGCCCUGUGCAGUGAUCCUGUCUUCUAAGCUGCAUCUUCUAAGAGAGUUCCCUGAGGUUUCUUCUCAAUUGCUGAAAGGUAUCCAUCAUAAGGAAAAAAAAAAAUAGCUAGUUACUCUUUGAAACAUAAGCUGUGCCUUUGCUCUCCAGCCUGCUGUGGAUUCUUUCCAGGCUCUGAGUCAUCGGCACUGUGAGAGUUCCCCGUGCUCAAGAAUUGUGCCUUCCAUCUUGAAGCACUGAGAAGUCAAUUAAUGUUCCUGUGAAAAGACUGAAUGAUGAGUUGAACGAUGGAAAAGGUGGAAAAGGCAUAGGACUGGCACAGCAGUUUUGGAUUCCAGCCAUCUUAACCAUUUUCAAGGUGCUGAGACCAGAAGAUGAAGAGUUUAUCUCCAAGAUUUCUGAGCCCCUCUUUUUUGUCUCUCUAACCCAAAGAAUCCAAUAGGAACAUCUGGCUUCCUUUGGGAA
Long non-coding RNA from Bos taurus (domestic cattle), 503 nucleotides. The record is from Ensembl. Lineage: Eukaryota; Metazoa; Chordata; Mammalia; Artiodactyla; Bovidae.